This 348-nucleotide unclassified non-coding RNA is filed under the name Zea mays. RNAcentral's name for it is "misc RNA Zm00001eb363110". The record is from RNAcentral. Lineage: Eukaryota; Viridiplantae; Streptophyta; Magnoliopsida; Poales; Poaceae.
UCUUGGCUCGAUCAGCUGUGGUCCUGCUGCACGCAGACGCAGCUGCUCAAACUCGAGCCGCCGCCUGCGCUGCAUCCUUCCUCCCCAUCUCUUUGCGUCAUCAGCUCCUUCUUCUUCUUCUUCUCUUCUGUCUGGCUGUCUGUCACCACUCACCACCACUUCCUCCUCCGAUCCGAUCCCUUCGGUUCUGCUUCUUCACUACUGCUACUUGUUUGUUACUUUUUUUUCUGCUUCUUUUCCCUCCGUCCUCCCCCCUCUUUCUCUUGCGCGUCUCUCUCCAGAGAAAGAGAGAGAGAGAGGUGGACUGGAGGCUAGGCUACUGUUACUGUAUGUGCCAGCCCAUGCCGA